This 5963-nucleotide long non-coding RNA is filed under the name Pelobates cultripes (western spadefoot toad). The record is from RNAcentral. Lineage: Eukaryota; Metazoa; Chordata; Amphibia; Anura; Pelobatidae.
GUGCUGACAGCCAUGAUACGGUGAUGGAAACGGCUUCCCGCAUGAUUUCUUUCUCUAUGGAGAUAUGAAUGUGGAACAGGAAAUGUUAUUAGCAAGCGCCCACGAAAUGCCCCCCUUCAGUCCUAUGUAAUCUCAGGGAUUUAUAUUCCCCGUGACACCCUGCUCUGUCUCCCCGUGACACCCUGCUCUGUCUCCCCGUGACACCCUGCGCUGUCUCCCCGUGACACCCUGCGCUGUCUCCCCGUGACACCCUGCGCUGUCUCCCCGUGACACCCUGCGCUGUCUCCCCGUGACGGUCUGCGCUGUCUCCCCGUGACGUUCUGAACUCUGUCCUCGUGACACUCUGCGCGGUCUCUCCAGGAUAUUCUGUACUGUCUCCUUGUGACACUCUGCUCGGUCUCCCCAUGAUACUCUGUGCUGUCUCCUUGUGACACUCUAUUCUUGUCCGGGCAGUGCCAGCGAGGAUAUCGAGGUGGGUAGCAAGCUAAUAUCCAAUACAAUGGGUUAUAGUACAAUAGUGGCAAUAUUGUUUUGUAGUGUUUACACCUAGAGAGCCUACGGUUACCAAACCUGUGAUUUGUAGACAUUUCACUGUACAUGAUUAAUGGUAUAGUCUAGUAAGUGACUUUGGAGGAGAGACACUGCUCCUGCAAAAUGCAAAUGUUUUCAUUUUUCAAUGCCCACCAACUAGCGGCUGUCAAUCAGACUGUCACUGCGGGCGCCUGACAUAAUUAAAUUCUAUAAUUAAUCUAUUUGAUGCCCGGAGUCAGCAUGCAGAGUAUACGGACACUGUGUGCAUAUAAUCAGAAACAUCACAUUAAAAUUAAAAAAUUGUAGGGACUAGAAACAUAAUAUAUACAAAAAAAAUAACCAUUGGGAAUAAAAUGCAAAGUUCUAAUAGUGAAGCAGUAAGUGUGAUGCUUCCAUUGGUUUCCAUGGCGAUUGCACCACAUUUAAACUGUUAUUCCACGGUAGCUACGGAUUCCAAUAAACCUUCUCGUUUAUCAAGCUAUACCGAUCGGGAUUUUUUUUUUACUUAUUUGAUGUUACUCUUGGCUUCUAAAUCCACCAGGACUAUUCCCGAAACCAGAUAUUAACAAGGAAAUUGCAAAUUUAAUAAGCUCCGCUUAUUUGCAACCCUUUGGUCAAAUCCCGAAAAUGCACAUUUUAGUUAAUAAAUGUGAAUUCUUUUGCCAGAGGGUGAAACAAUUUCGUUUUUAAGCAUUUAUGUUUGUUUUCCGAGGAUAAAAAUCAUUUUGGAAAACUAAAAUAAACACAGACCGAGUAAGCAAAAACUAAAACCAAUGUAAAUAAUGCUUUCUUUAACUUAAAUCACCUCUAGGAGGCAGCUUUGCCCACGUUCAUUGUCCACUUUAGAUUCUAAAUUUACAGAAAUUCAGUAAGGAGUUUUUAUCCCCAUAAAUAAGUGCUUUACAUGAAUCAGACACAUCCAGAUAAAGGAAGAAGCUUUGCAGAAAAUUCCUGAGGAAUUAGCAAUGUACAGAUGUUUGCUCUGAGCCCAGCCAGACAGAAUAUCCUGUUAAGUACAGGAGACUAAUUAUAUGGGAUGCAUGGAUCAAAUUCCGAUUUAAAUGAUACCCAUGUUCUUUAGAAUAGUGCGAGUUUCGAUAUUUCUAGGCUCUCCGUAGUGUUGUCAGGUGUUCCCCGUGCACAAUGAUUAAAUAGAAUGAGGUCACCCCACUCUGCACGCAGUGAACUCAAGCCCCGGCAAUACUAGCCCGUGUUAGGGUUAUUCUGCUCCCCUGAUAUUCUGCAUUAUUUCUGACCUUUUCCCAGCUGCUCCCCUUUGUAGAUCACUUGGCUUUGUUCCCCUGACUUCAAGCACCUGUUCUGUUAUUUUUGUGUUAUCACUUUUUUUUAUUUUUGUGUGUGCCCCUGUUAUCACCGUGUUCAGGUGACUGCCAGCCUGUGCGCACUUUAUUCCUAAACUAAAUAUUUUAUGUCUACAACAAGAGACCGAUUGGUCUUGGCAUCGUAUUAAUGAAGAAGGCAACAAGGCUAAUAUCCCCCAGCUGGGGGCUCCCAGGCCCCCCACAUGCCCAUGUUACAUUAAAUUAGAAUUUGAUCUCAGCCAUGUCCUAGCAGGACUCGAACAAACACUAUAAAAUCCUGCGAAGAAUAACCAUCAUUUUUAUUUAGAGUUUGAAUGUAUUAUCUGAAGAAUGUAUUGAAAAGGGCUAAUUUUUUUUCAUUUUUAAACUGGUCUUAAUUCUAUUUUUGUUUUUUUUUCUAUCAGUUUUUAUCUUACAAUUUGGGUGCACAAAAAUGCUGUUUGUUCACUUUCUGUAAUAUUUCCUCAAUCUUUCUUGUUUGAAGGGCAAUGAUCACGUGUCUGGGUUUCACUCCACAGAGUAAAACAUUAAAAAUCACCUAUACCUUAUAUAACAUUAUUUUCUCAGGACGGACCAUUUUCUUGUCAAUGUGUAUUAAAGAUUUAACAAUUGACAUCACAAUCCUGUUCAGUUCUGGCACAGCCAGGACACACAAUGCAAAUGAGGAAGAUACACAGAAACAUUGGGGGAGAUUUUUCAAACGCUUCUGUUCUUAAAAGUGCAGCGAUAACCGUGGAAACCAAUGAAAGCAGCAGAAACACUGGUGACCUCACAUCUUUUACAUUUUUAGAACAGGACAUGUUGAUAAAUCUCCCCCAAUCUUUGUUUGCCAUGCUCUUGCGAAGCUAGCUGAUGGCUACAUGUAACGUCUAGAGGUAAUACAGAGGUCUACACAUGUAAUCUUAUUGUUCAGACCCUAUAAAUGUGACUACUUACUUGUUAAAUAUAGGGAUAAGUAGUAUACAGAAUUUUAAAUAUCUUUUGGAAAGUGACAGCACUCCUUAAAGAGUUACUUUUGGUUUCUAGUCUUUAUUACUACUUCAAAGUGUCAGACAUAAUUCUUUUUUGAGUGGAUUCAAUUCUUUAUUUACCCACAGUAGGAACAGUCAGGGCCUCUGUGUUGACAAACGCCUGGGACAGUGUUUAAUAAGUGGGGUGGGCACCUUGACUCUUUGGCACGUAUCCUAAUGUGACAAACACAUCCUGCACCAAUGCAAAUAUCCUUUCUUACUCCGUAAGUACCGGCUCAGGGCAGCGGCUGCCUGGAGCAAGACCAUAAAGUGAAUUUAAAUCUAGGCUGUUAAAGUGAAACUGUCAUUUUUGUUUUUUGGCUCCCAGACACCAUGUGCAGAGAGACAGAGACUAGGUUACACCAUAACCUUAUAGCUGCUGUUAUAAUACACUGUGUGCAGGGAGACAGAGGACCUCCUUACACCAUAACCUUAUAGCUGCAGUUAUAAUACACUGUGUGCGGGGAGAUACCCGGAUUUCCUUACACCAUGAAAUUAGUAUUGGUGGUUGUUAUGCUUUGAGUGUCCCCUGUCUACGUUGGUGUUAAUCAACAUGACAUUAUCAGCUUGCAGUGGGCGGUUUUGCAAACAUCUGUUGCCUCAAUGAAAUUUCCUUGAAACUGACCCUCACAACUCUCAUAAACAUUAGACCUUAAUCUGCAAAAAAAAAAAAAAAAAAGGUUUCAAAUGUCUGGUAUUAACGCUAUAUCGGGAACGCUCUACAUGCUUCAACUCUUCAUUGUGUUAACUCUUUGAGGGAUUGUCUACUUAAAAUUGUACCUAAUAUUUCUAAAUAAUGCAAAAAGAAUUGCCCAAAAUGAGUUACCUUGUAAAGUGUCUUUUGGUGCACUGUUUAGUGGGUGUGUUUGCUGCAAUAAGACCCCCUCCUACGCCAGUCGCUUCAAUCAUCUCAUUAUAGUGGCUGAACUUUGUUCCUGUGUCGGUUUUUGUUUUUGAGGUAUGUGGGUUAUCCCCAAAGAGCAGUUCCAUAAGUCACAUAGAAUGAUUGGAACUGCACUGUCCCCAGCGCGACUCUCUCACCAGAGAUAUGCUUUAUUUGCAUUUAUUUUGGAUUUCUGUUGAUCCAUGACCAUUGUUUCUCGGAAUGGAAUAAUACUCAUUGCUCCCCCUGAUAUUAUGAUGGGCAUUUACUGCAAAGAUGAACCACCAGUGAAAUAUGGCCGUGCGCGAUUCACCCUUCAAUUAAAAUCAAAACGCGCAGUGUUAUAAAAUUUAUGAAAUCAGUAUUUAGGAGUUCAGAAUACAUUAACCAACCUCUUAUAAGUUGGUACAUCUCCAAUAAUUGUUCUCAUAGUAUUACCCAUAUCUACGCUGACUGUAAAACAAAAACUAAAACGAAAUUACAAUGAUAUAUCAGUGAACAAAGUGCGGCUGUUUUAAAAGCUCUUGCUAAAACUUGGUUGGUUUGCAACACGUUAAUAAUCAUUUACAUAGCAAUAGGUAUCUCCAUCUGUUUUUUUUUUUUGCAUAUAUGAAAAUAUAUCCCAAGUAAAGUAUUAAAAAAAUCCCAUCAUUUUUUUUAAUAUCUUUUUUUUAUCAGUCGCAGUAUAAAUUUACAUUUUAUUUCACAUAUUUUAAGUUUUUUAGAUAACAUUUUUUUAAAGAUCUUUUUUCGAAUAACCUUUGAGAUUUUCUUAGUUAAACCACUAGAUAUAAUUUAUUCUUGUUUGUGUUUAUGAUAAGCAAUAACGAUUAUUGAAGUAGAGACAAAAAAAUCCUUAUUAAACACAAAUUAUCCUUCUGGCUCUGAAGUAUUGUGUAAUUUAUGAAGCAGACACCAACCCAGCACAGAUAUUUACUGAAAUACCUGUGUUACUUUAACAUCCUAAAUAUCCGGAAGAAUACCGAUUUUUGUUCCAAGAUUAAAUCUCUACUCCCUUUCGAACAUAAGUAAAGCGUAAUUCUGGAGCAAAGUUCUAAAACUGGGGCAAUUGCCAUGGAAACCAAUGGAAUUUAGAGCUUUGCCCUGCGUAGCAGUUUAUACACGGUUCCAUGUGUCUUAAUGGGAGCCAGUGCCUGUCGAGCUCUUAGUGUGUAUCGAGCAAACGGGUGGGGGGGGCUUCACCAACUCGGCCAAUUGAAGUACUUGAUGGCGCGGCUGCUGUUGGCUCCUUGCCUGGAAUGCCCCCAGACACAGUAAAUUGUUUUGUGUCACAUGGCGUAGGACGGUUCUUGAAAGGCAAAAUACCAUGACUUCUUUUUAAUAAAUUCAUAAUUCCUUAAGUAGUUUUUUUUUUUUUUUGCCUCAGCUGAUGCGCAGUGACUUUGAUGGUUAUGGUAUAAGGAGGUCCUCUGUUUGACUGCACUGUCAAGUCAUUGCCUUUUCCCGAGUAUCUAAAUACUCACAACACAAAAACACGACAGAAGGUUAGGAACCUGCAUCCCUGCUUUAAUUAACAGCCACUCACAUCACUGUCAGCCAGAGAUUGAGGGGAGUUUAGACUAGCCAGAGUUACGGGAGCCCCCCUGCUCUCAAAGCCUUCUGCAAGAAUAUCGUAUUAUUAUUUAAAUAGUGCCAACACAUACUGCAGCCUUUUAGAAUUCAUAAAAGUAAGGUGGGACAGUUAGUGUUUUGAUGUAUGCAGAGAUUUCCAAUAGAAAUCCAUCUCUGCAUGCCAGCGGCCGCAGAUUAGAAAAGGGAUCUAAUUAUCAUGUAGUUAUUUUAUGUAUAUAAUCUACAGAUUAUGUAUAGAAAAUGUGAACAAAUGUGACGUGUUUUGUGGAAGUACAGGGUAUCCUGUAUCAAGCGAUAGCUGAUCUGUUACAAUUGUUGCAAAUGAAAGAAUAGAAAUGUGUACAUGUGCCCUAUAUGGUGAUCGUGCGGCCCAUUUAGAUACCGUUACACAGAACACAGAGGUGUUUUGGUAAAACAGAUUAUGUUUAGAGAUUUUUUCCAUUUCUUUAUACAUGACCAGUAAUAUGUACGGUAAAUCAUGUGAGGAGCUGGGAAUCUCCCAGGAUAUAUAUUUUAUUUUUUUCUCGCAGCCUGAUCUGUGUCCGUCAUCCCGCCAGGACAUUGUGCGCUGUGUGCUGUAAGGUCACCUUGCUCUGUGCACCAGAAGAAUACAGAGGAAUAAGG